This 73-nucleotide transfer RNA is filed under the name Bos taurus (domestic cattle). It matches the Rfam family "tRNA". From Rfam's summary of the family: Transfer RNA (tRNA) molecules are approximately 80 nucleotides in length. Their secondary structure includes four short double-helical elements and three loops (D, anti-codon, and T loops). RNAcentral also lists the same sequence under 2 other names. The record is from Rfam by way of RNAcentral. Lineage: Eukaryota; Metazoa; Chordata; Mammalia; Artiodactyla; Bovidae.
UCCUUGGUGGUCCAGCGGUUAGAACUCUGAGCUUCCACUGCAGGGGGCACAGGUUCAAUCCCUGGUCAGGGAA